Molecule: ribosomal RNA, 253 nt
Filed under: uncultured prokaryote
Description: partial 16S ribosomal RNA
Rfam family: Bacterial small subunit ribosomal RNA
Source: RNAcentral
ACGUAGGGUCCGAGCGUUGUCCGGAGUUACUGGGCGUAAAGCGCGCGCAGGCGGCUCGGCAAGCAUGGCGUGAAAGCCCCCGGCUCAACCGGGGAGAGUCGUCGUGGACUGCCGAGCUUGAGGGCGGCAGGGGUUGGUGGAAUUCCCGGUGUAGUGGUGAAAUGCGUAGAGAUCGGGAGGAACACCCGUGGCGAAGGCGGCCAACUGGGCCGACCCUGACGCUGAGGCGCGAAGGCGUGGGGAGCGAACAGGA